Molecule: microRNA, 21 nt
Filed under: Populus trichocarpa (black cottonwood)
Lineage: Eukaryota; Viridiplantae; Streptophyta; Magnoliopsida; Malpighiales; Salicaceae
Description: ptc-miR6450a
Source: miRBase by way of RNAcentral
CUUUGUCAGGACUCAAGGCUA